ACGGAAGGCAGCAGUGAGGAAUAUUGGUCAAUGGACGGAAGUCUGAACCAGCCAAGUCGCGUGAAGGAUGAAGGUAUUAUGUAUUGUAAACUUCUUUAGCAGUGGAGUAAUAAGGGGAUCGCGAUCCCUGAUGCAAGUACACUGAGAAUAAGGAUCGGCUAACUCCGUGCCAGCAGCCGCGGUAAUACGGAGGAUCCGAGCGUUAUCCGGAUUUAUUGGGUUUAAAGGGAGCGUAGGCGGGAAGUCAAGUCAGCUGUGAAAUGUAGUCGCUCAACGUCUGCACUGCAGUUGAAACUGGUUUUCUUGAGUGCGUAAGAGGCAGGUGGAAUUUGUCGUGUAGCGGUGAAAUGCUUAGAUAUGACGAAGAACUCCGAUUGCGAAGGCAGCCUGCUGGGCCGCAACUGACGCUGAAGCUCGAAGGUGCGGGUAUCAAACAGGAUUAGAUACCCUGGUA
RNAcentral lists this ribosomal RNA (454 nucleotides) under uncultured Bacteroides sp. Its description in RNAcentral is "partial 16S ribosomal RNA". It matches the Rfam family "Bacterial small subunit ribosomal RNA", at positions 341 to 792 of the family's 1533-position model. Lineage: Bacteria; Pseudomonadati; Bacteroidota; Bacteroidia; Bacteroidales; Bacteroidaceae. The record is from RNAcentral.